GAAGGGAGUAUUGUGAAAUUGAUUAUGGAGGACCUUGAAGAUGUGGGUUGUGAAGUUGCUUUUUGUUGAAACAGAGACUGAUAAAUAUGUGGUUACCUAAGAUAUGAUUGUUGAAUAGCAUCUUGGCUAGAAUCAUGUUGAAGAAGGAUAUUAAGAGUCUCAUGUAGUCCAGGUUGACCUAAGUUUGAUAUAUAGCAACGGAUGACCCUGGAUAUCUUGCCUCUAUCUUCUGACUGCUCUAGGACUACAAGAAUGUGCCACCACAUCCGUUUAUGAGGUGUGAGAAUUCAAAUGCAGAGCUUCCUGUAUGCUAAGAUGUGGCAGUGUAGGUCCACUGGCAUCAUCUUCCUGAGAAACUUCAUGGCCUCUGGUGACCCAGGACCUUUACAGAAUGGACACCAGAGACCUGGCUUUGGGGAUCUUCUUCCUGUCCCAGACUGUGCUGGGAUUGUUGGGCAACUCAAUCUUAAUUUAUUGUUUUAUCAUUGCUGACUUCUCUGGAAUCAAGGUGAAGCCCACACACCUGAUUGUCAAACACCUGACCUGGGCCAACUUCAUUGUUCUCUGCAGAGGAAUCCCACAGACCAUUGCUGCUUUUAGUCAGACUUACUAUCUAGAUUAUGUUUCAUGUAAACUUGCCUUGUAUUUUCAUAGAGUUGCCAGAGGAGUAUCCCUUGGCUCCACAUCCCUGCUGAGUGUGUUUCAGUCCAUCACCAUUAGCCCCAGUAAUUCUAAGUGGGCACAGCUCAAGGUCAGAGCCCCCAGGAUCAUUGGUCCUUCCCUGGGUCUGUGCUGGGCCCUCCAGCUGUUGGUAUAUGUCUUCAUUCCUGUAUACACAACUGGCAUAAAGCAUGGGAGAAA
Molecule: non-coding RNA, 861 nt
Organism: Peromyscus maniculatus bairdii (prairie deer mouse)
Lineage: Eukaryota; Metazoa; Chordata; Mammalia; Rodentia; Cricetidae
Source: RefSeq, a predicted model, not a curated record